This 429-nucleotide ribosomal RNA is filed under the name uncultured bacterium. RNAcentral describes it as "bacterial SSU rRNA". It matches the Rfam family "Bacterial small subunit ribosomal RNA", at positions 29 to 506 of the family's 1533-position model. The record is from RNAcentral.
ACGAACGCUGGCGGCAGGCCUAACACAUGCAAGUCGAACGCCCCGCAAGGGGAGUGGCAGACGGGUGAGUAACGCGUGGGAACGUGCCCUUCGGUUCGGAAUAACUCAGGGAAACUUGAGCUAAUACCGGAUACGUCCGUAAGGAGAAAGAUUUAUCGCCGAAGGAUCGGCCCGCGUUGGAUUAGCUAGUUGGCGGGGUAAAAGCCCACCAAGGCAACGAUCCAUAGCUGGUCUGAGAGGAUGAUCAGCCACACUGGGACUGAGACACGGCCCAGACUCCUACGGGAGGCAGCAGUGGGGAAUAUUGGACAAUGGGCGAAAGCCUGAUCCAGCCAUGCCGCGUGAGUGAUGAAGGCCCUAGGGUUGUAAAGCUCUUUCGCCAGGGACGAUAAUGACGGUACCUGGAUAAGAAGCCCCGGCUAACUUCGU